Molecule: small nuclear RNA, 104 nt
Organism: Pan troglodytes (chimpanzee)
Lineage: Eukaryota; Metazoa; Chordata; Mammalia; Primates; Hominidae
Source: Ensembl
GUGCUCACUUUAACAGCACCUGUACUAAAAUUGGAAUGAUACAGAGACUAGUGUGGUCCCUACACAAGGAUGAUAUGCAAAUGUGUGGAGUGUUCCAUAUUUUU